CUAACAAGGAUUCCCCUAGUAACGGCGAGUGAAGCGGGAAGAGCUCAAGCUUAAAAUCUCUGCGCAAGUUUUGCGUGGCGAAUUGUAGUCUAUAGAAGCGUGGUCAGCGCGGGCGCUUGGGGUAAGUUCCUUGGAAGAGGACAGCAUGGAGGGUGAUACUCCCGUUCAUACCUGAGUGGCUUGUGCGUACGACCCGUUUUCUUUGAGUCGCGUUGUUUGGGAAUGCAGCGCAAAGUAGGUGGUAAAUUCCAUCUAAAGCUAAAUAUUGGUGCGAGACCGAUAGCGAACAAGUACCGUGAGGGAAAGAUGAAAAGAACUUUGAAAAGAGAGUUAAAGAGUACCUGAAACUGCUGAAAGGGAACCGAAUCGUUUCCAGUGUCUAUAAUCUGUGGCAUAUUUCAUUGGCGAGUGUGUGUGUGCGUGUACUUUGGCAGUGGCUUUUUGGCUGCGCUAGGUGCGCGUUGUGCGUGUAUUUGCUGGUGCCCUGUGCUAUGGUGGGACGUCAAGGUCAGUUCGUAUGCUGCGGGAAAUGGCUGCUGAGGAGGUAGGGCUUACGCUUGCGUUUGUCUAUUAUAUCUUGGUGGACGAGUCGUCGCGGUUGGGACUGAGGUGCCUACAACGUGCUUUUGAGUCUGUGGAACUCUUCGUGUGCGUGCUGUGUAGAUAGCUUGCUAUGUGCGUGGUGCUGUGCGUGGAUUGAGGUCUGCUGUAACUUGUUGCCGUUCGGGACGUUGACGAAAUGGAGCGAUCCGACCCGUCUUGAAACACGGACCAAGGAGUCUAACAUGCGUGCAAGUGUUAGGGUGUGGAAACCCAAGCGCGAAAUGAAAGUGAAGGGCAGCGCAAGUUGUCUGAGGUAGGAAACGUGUGGCCUUUCGGGGCUGUGCGUGGCACUAUCGACCGAUCAUGAACCUUCGUGGUGAAAGAUUUGAGUUUGAGCACAUAUGUUGGUACCCGAAAGAUGGUGAACUAUGCCUGAGUAGGGUGAAGCCAGGGGAAACUCUGGUGGAAGCUCGUAGCGAUUCUGACGUGCAAAUCGAUCGUCAAACUUGGGUAUAGGGGCGAAAGACUAAUCGAACCAUCUAGUAGCUGGUUCCCUCCGAAAUUUCCCUCAGGAUAGCAGCAACUUUUUUACGAUAGUUUUAUGAGGUAAAGCGAAUGAUUAGAGGAUUCGGGGAAGAAACUUCCUCGACCUAUUCUCAAACUUUAAAUCUGUAAGACCUGCCGGUUUCUUAAUUGAACUGGCGGAUGUGAAUAUCAA
This 1261-nucleotide ribosomal RNA is filed under the name Phytophthora morindae. Its description in RNAcentral is "eukaryotic LSU rRNA". It matches the Rfam family "Eukaryotic large subunit ribosomal RNA", at positions 65 to 1118 of the family's 3401-position model. Lineage: Eukaryota; Oomycota; Peronosporomycetes; Peronosporales; Peronosporaceae. The record is from RNAcentral.